Long non-coding RNA from Cavia porcellus (domestic guinea pig), 8119 nucleotides. RefSeq lists it as uncharacterized. The transcript is spliced from 4 exons. The record is from RefSeq and is a predicted model, not a curated record. NCBI's taxonomy places the organism in Eukaryota, Metazoa, Chordata, Mammalia, Rodentia, Caviidae.
UGCGAACGCCGAUGCCGCCGCGAUCCUGCGGCCCCUCUGCCACUGCUACUGCUACUGUGCCCGCGUGCUCUGGGACACGCGCCCCUUCCUCUUGGUCAGUGUGCAACCCCCUGGACCCAGCGUGUCCCGCAACCCUGGCGCGCACGCCAGGACUCAGAGGGGAAAUUGUGCCAGAGCUCCGCAGCUGCUUAGUGAAGGAUGGCGCGGUUCCCGGCAGAAGCGCGCUGAAAGAAGACAAAACAGCUCCUUUCUUUCCAUUGUUACUUCCCCUCCUGAGUCCUACCAGACGGGUGGUAAGAGGCGAGCCUGGAAGAGAACCUAUAGUCAGCAUCUCCUGAGAUCCAGCCACGUUGGAACUUAGGGUACUGAGCAAGAAAGUAACACGCCUCCUUUCCUAGUAAGUGGCCGAGGCAAGAACGAGCAGCAGGCGAGCCCGGAAGAGAACCAGUCAGUGUCUCCUGUGGGCCUACAGCUUGGGUUGAUAAUCAGACAUCCCAUUCCCCCCCUCACCCAUUAGCAACUAGGAGCCAGAGGUCUGAGCAUCUCUUGGGAGGAUAACAGUAUGCAAUAUAGCAAACAUGGGGGGAUUUCCUUCUAUCUUCUCUUUGAAGGCAAAUAUAGUUUUCACUGUUUUGCUUUGUUCUGCUUGUUUUGCACUAUUCAAUAUUCUUUUUGAUAGGUUUUAUAGUGUUCUGUUCUUGGUUUGAUUUUGCUAUACCUGAUUGAAUGGACAACUAUUGUGAAGCUAAUGAGAUACACUAGGGUACCAAUUACUGUUAUCCUGGUAACCUGCUGUGAAGUUCUGUACCAAUCUCAUUGCAUUGUCUUGACUGGCUUUGUUCUGUCUUGUUCUGUUGUAUUUUACUACCUUCAAAAACAAACAAACAAAAAACCCCAAAAAACAAAAGCCAGCUGCUUCUUGACCUAAUAGGAAGGUUGGGCUGGGUCUUCAGAUGGCAAGAUGGAAUUCCAGGUUGUAACCUCAGAAGGACACCUUUGGGUGAAUGUCCUCUUCCUGGGUCCCAUCCUUCACUGCUCAGCUCACUCUGAGAUUUACCCAGGCAACAAGUGAGCCCAGUUGGCUUCCUCAGGCUGCCAGUUCUACCCUCCUAGCCCCAAGUUGGUCUGGAAGGUCUAGGGGGUUUUGGGGGUGCAAUAAACAAUUGUCUCUAAAGGCAGAGAAGGAGAAGGGGACCUACCAAGUAUUGGCCCUGUCCCCCGAGUCCCAGUCAGAAGGUCCAGCCAAGUCUGGAAGCCUUCCGAGAGUCCCGGGACUCCAGCUCUGGUUUUGCCCAGGAUCUCAAGUCUGAACUCCAGUGCCUCAUGCUUAGGCAGGUCCCAGGUCCCCAGGGCUAGAAAGUAAAGAUCUGGAGCCUGGGACGCUGUGCCAGCCUCUGACCUUAACCACAGGACUACAUGGACUCCUAUUUCUUGGACCCGCCUCUCUCUGUCUGCUGGAAAUCACCCAGCCAUGGUCUCUCUGCUCUUGCCCCAUGCAACCUGUGACUCCCUGUAAAGUACAAAGCUGACUCUGUCCUCCAUUGCUGCAGGAUGAAGCCAGGCCCCUUACUGCUGCACGUAAGACCCUCUAUCACCUGACCCCAACCUGCACUCAUCCUUCCCUAUCCUUCUCUCCUCCCCUAGGAACCCUUGUAGCAGUCCUCACUGGACAGUCCAUGUUUACGCCUUCCAUUGUCUGGCACCUCUGAUGAGAGUGUCUCUCCAACUCAACCAAGAACUCAAUUUCAUCCCUCCAGGCCCAGCUGGGGAGUCUCCUCCAGAUUGCCUGGCCUGUCCCGUAGGUAGUGUUAGCAGCGCAGUCUUCUGGGCUCCUAUCUUAAUAAGCUUCUGGAGGCCCUCACAUGUCCCAGCACAGGCUACUCUGUCUCCUGUGGCUUUGGAAGCAGGGCAGCUCCCCUUUUCAGCCAGCCAGCCAAGGCCUGGCCCAGGGCAGGUAUCUGUGAACAGUGAUCCAAGGAAUGAACCCACCUGAGGGUCUGCCCUGUGGAUUAUUUCAACUACCAUGGUGAUUAUCUUGCUAUAGCCCAUGCCACCCAGCUUGCUGAAGCCAAAUGAGCCAGCACUUUGGAAAGAAAAACUGAAUGCAUCAUACAAAUGAAUGGGCUGUAAUUAGACCUGGGAACAGGGUCAGAGGGAGAACUGGGGUGACAAGGUGGAGUAUGUGCUUAGGGCUCCCAUCCAAAGCCCCUUAAGGAAAAGAAGCAGGUGACAGGCAGGAGGAAUAGCACCUGCAGGGUGUGGGCGAUGGGGCCUGUGUCUCUGCUCUACCCCAGACCAUUCACUCCUCCUGGGACUCACUUUCCCUACCUGUGCAGUUGGGAGACACAAUCUCUGCUCGACUUCUUCCAAGGGUCUCAGUAAGGAUUAGGGAGGUAGGGUGGGGAUCCUUUGCAAACUGUAAGGUGCAGUCAGCACAUGCAGACUGUCAUUCUGGAAGCCAGGCCCAGCUGGGCUCGAGUGAGGACAGGAGUGCUAGCCAUGAAAACACUGUUUUGAGGGUCAGAACCUGGUCCUUUAAGCACCUUCAGAUCUUCAAUACUCCCUCCCCAACUUCCUCAGCAUCCUUUGCUCUGGCUGGGAAUGAUACCCAGGGUUGCUGGGCUUUGGGUGGGUGUAGCUCCUGCCCGGGCUCCACUUCUCUCUCACAGUGGAGGUAGAGGCCAUAUCAGCCGCACCCUCAGCAUGGCAGAAACUGUAGGUAGGCAGCUCUGCUCCCAAGCUCAGCAAGUGGCUUCUUGAUGAACAGGUGCAGGAAGGGCCCUAGCCCCGUGCCAUCUUCCCGGAUCACCUGCUUCCAUGAAGUCUGUCCCUCUGCAGCCUAGCUCAUCCCUGGUGAGGGGAAGGAUGCCCUGUGGUGGAUUGUUUCUUGCAGAACACAAGUGGUCACCAGCUGGGGAUAGAGAGCAGCUUCUGCCCAUUCUGGCCACCUGCAGGUGAAGGGCCCAGGUUCAGAGGAGGCCUGAGUUCAGCUCAUCCUUUCUCUUGGGUCUGGUUCCAUCUCAGAUCCAGAAGGGCACUGAGGCGAGGGCUGCCCAGAGUUCUGAUGGUCCCUUCAGAGCAGCGCCUUGAGGAGGAAGGAGAGGGAGGCUCCACAGGAGAGUCCCAGGGCCAGGAAGAAAGUCAUAAGGGCGCCAGCCACCUCUCUCUCAUGAGGCAGCACCUGCCUGGAACACACAGAAGUAGGAGCUAUUAGAAAACACUGGGCCCAGAUCUGGAGCAGCUCCAAGGCCCUCACCUCAUCCCUGUGUCACUGUAAUCUGGCCUGUCUGAGCUCAUUUUACCCACUUGUAAAACGAGGCCAUAGGACAAGGCCAUCACUUAGCCUUUGCUGCCUGUGCAGGAUUUUAUUUUUUGGUACCAGGAAUUGAACUCAGGACCUUACACUUGCCAGGAAGGUGCUUAUGCCACUGAGCUAUAUUCCUGGCCUGUCUAUAGCAUUUUAGAUUCCACUGCCUUACUUGUUGACAGAGUGUCCCUAAACUGGCCGUUACCUUUCCUCUCCCGAGAUUCUCGACUCUUUGCUUCUGGAGGAAAAAAAAAUCUCCAAAUUUUGCUUUUGACCAAAACCAGUUCUCCUUCAACAGAGAAUUCUGGAGCGAGAUGGGCUAUGAGAGAUAACAGUCCAAUUCACUGUCUUACUGAUGGAGAAACUGAGGCCCAAGGAGGCAGCCCCAGAACCAGUGCCAGGGCUACGUAGGUAGGUAUAUCUGUAGCUCCAGGUGUGGGGCCAGUUCAGACCCAGCAAGGCCUCGGCACAGCCAGCUGGGCUGGCCAGGGCAGAAGGGCCAGCUUCCCCGCAUUAUGGCUGUUCCUUUUCCAACAGCUAGCCCCCUCCCUAGCCCAGCAUGCGCCCCAAUGCUCCCCCAGACCUGGGUGCCAGGCACAUGGUGAGGGACACCAGGUAGCCAUUGGAGAUGGCAAACAGCAGCAUGAAUGUGAUGAAGUAGGCAUCCUGCCGGAAGAGGAUGGGCAGCCGUGCCCGCUCAGGCACGUGGCACAGCAUGAAGAGUGGCACGAACAGGAAUCGCAGGCAUACCAGCAGGGGCAGCAGUCGGCUGUCCUCAUCUGGCUGUGGCAGAGGCUCAGGUAAGCGUAGUCCCCGGGCUAGGUCUCUGUUCCAGGGGCACUUUGGACACUUACAGGACAGACCCAUCAGUCACCCCCAUCCUCUUCUGCCCUAUCCAUGAGCCAGUGGGGAUCUAGUACUGGGGCCUCUGGGAAUAAGAGCCGAGGCCAUUCAGCAAGCAGGGACAGCCUGGAGCUAGCCUUGGCUUCUCCCAGUAUCUACCUUGUGCGCUCUGCAUUGCAAAACUGGACAAGGGCGUGGACAGAGUUCAUGGUUUUCAAACUUGGCUUCCCAGGGGAGCCUUAGGGGGUUCCACAGAACCCUUUGGAAUAGCUGGAAUUCCUUUAAUGAUAAUUUUUGAUAAAGCUGCACACACUUGUGUGAUACCAUAUGAUAUUCUGAUGCAUGCAUACAUUGUGUAAUGUUCAAGUCAGAACAAUUACCUCCAGCUCCUCCAGCAGGUAUCAUUUGUUUGUGGUAAAAAUAUGCCAAAUCUUGUCUGCUGGCUUUUAGGAAACAUACACUGCAGUAUUGUUAUCUAUGGUCACCCUACUGUGCUACUGCACAAAACUACUGCACAGUACGCCAAGUGUAUUUAUUUAUUGUCUUUUUGAGAUAGGGUCUCACUAUGCAGUUCAGGCUGGCCCUGAGCUCACUUAGUAGUCCAGGCUGGUCUUGAACUUGCAAGAAUCCUGCCUCAGCCUCCUGAGUGCUGGGAUUACAGGUGUGGGCCACCACGCCUGGUGCGUAUCUCUUCUGUCCAGCUGUAACUUAGUGCUUGACUGAGCAGGGUGGGCAGCUGGACAGCUAGCACCCUCCUCUCUGGUCUGCUGCAUGUACUGUGUCUUCUCGGGAAGUUUCACUUAAAGAAACAACCUUUUGACUAGAAGCAAUACAAAAACCAGGAAUCCUGUCCAACCUGUCCCUGGGUGCAGGAACCACUUUGUGACAAUCUUGGAACAUGACAGCUGGGCCCUGGGUUGGAUGCUGGGGCCACAGAGCUCAGCUGGACAUGGCCCCUGCUGUUGAGGAACUCAGUACAAGUGCCGACCUGCGCGGUCCAGGGCCACUUGGGGUGCUCUACUGCCAGACCAACUGGAGUGUUACAGUCAUCUCUGUCUGUGCUUUCAUGUCCUCCGCUCUUCAACUGCUUCCUAAAACCAUGGCUCACCCAGCCCGGUGUGCUCACCCAGAGGAAGUAGGAAGUCAGGCUGCGGCCCAGCCAGUCCAUGAUGUUGAAGAGCAGAAAACAGCAAAUGGGGUUGAAGAACUGACCUGGGGGAAAGACAGGGCUGGCGAUUCACCUAGUCCCUAACUCCCCAGUUCCCUCUACCUACUUUGCCCCCCCCCAUCCUUUUCAGUACCCCAACACUCACUCCACUUCCCAGGGCCAGUGGAGCUGGUCACCAUGGCUGUGAUGGCAGGGAAGACGGACAGGGUGACUGUGAAGACCAACACAAGGCACAGCGCCGUCAGCCAGAUCUGGGAGCCGGAGGCAGGGGUGUGAGCAGGUCCCAGGACUUACCAGACUGUAGGAGCUCAGCUUUGGUCUCCAGUUCCUGAGCUGGCACCUGUGAGGGCUUCUUGGUGAGAUGGUAGCGGGCAAACUCCUGUACAAGGAUCAGAAGUGUCAGCUGUGCCUGAGGGAAAAGCUGGGGAAACGAGGAAAGAAGUGCUCACAGUUGAUGAACCAGACGGAGGCCAUGGUGAUGGAAAAGAAGGGCCCAGGGCUCACGUCCACCUUGACCAACGCUGCUGUCAGGGCAAAGAGCAGUAGUAUGGCCAGCAGGCUGCCCAGAAUGCGCACCGCCUCAGGGAUGCUGCUUGGAAAGGGCAGAGGGCAUCUGAGGCUGAGGCCCAGCAGGGGCAGGCAAGCAAGAGGUUCUACCAAGGGCAGGGCAGUGGGGUUAGGGCAGUACAGAGCAAGUUGGGGAAGGGUGGGUGGCCUGGGGCAGGGUCUCACCACUGGUACAGGAAGGAGUUGAGGAGAGUGAAGAGCAGCAGGGGCAGCUGGGACAGCAGUGUCACCCAGUUGUUGAAGCUGAAAGCGUCUGUGGGGCCCGUGUGGUUGGAACUCAAGGUCCCGACUGUGCUGUUGACCCCUGCCAGUCGCGCCUGGAAAUACUGGGGCGGGGGGGGGGUGUAGCAUCAGGAAUCCCCCACGGUACCAUCCCAGCCACACUAGCAAUUGCUUGGCUAUGGGUGCCUUGUCCUUGCACUGUCCCCAGUCCUUGGCAGGGUCAGAGCUCCCUGGAUGUGCAAUGAUUUGAUUGGCUGAAGUCUGGGACAGAGCCCAAGCCUUAGGAACCUCCCUGUGUUGGCCUUGCUAAACUGCCACCCUCAUCCCUGCAGCAGCCUCCAGAUUUAUGCAUACUCACCCUGAGCCAGGUUCUGCUUUCCUUACUGGCCCACUGCUUUCUUUUUGGAACACAUCCUGUCAUUUCCUGCUUAACCCCUUUCCCACCUUCUGCCUGCAGGGCAGAGGCCCAAGACAUUUUGUUUUGUUGUAUAGUAGGGACUGGACCCCAGGCUAGGUGUAUGCUAGCUACACAAGUGCUCUGCCACUAAGCAGCACCCAGAGCACUAGGCAGCACCCCCAGCUCUUCUGCCUGUUUUGUUUUGUAUUGAGACAGGCCUUUGGUAAGUUGUGGAGGUUGGCCUGGAAACUGCAGUCCUGUGUCAGUAGCUGGGAUUACAAGUGUGCAUCACUGGACUCCACUAAGUCCCAAGGUUUUAGAACAGCAUUUGAGAGCCUUCAGAAUCAGAUCCCAGCCUCUCUUUUAUGCCCUGUUCCUUGUUCUGUUCUGCUAAACUUUAGGACCCCAAGCUUUGGGUCUUUUUUGAAUAAUCUUUUGCCUUCACCUGGAAUGCCCUUUCCUCUUCUACUAUCCUCCCAGGCCCACAUAUACUUUGCCCACUCUGCUCUCAGUUUAUGAGUCUCUUCUACAAAGUUAGGAGUAAUCCCAGUAUUAGGGAAGCUAAGGCAGGAGGACUGCAAGUUUGAGGGCAACCCGGGCUACCCAGUGAGUUCAAGGCCAGCCUGGACAACACAGUAGGUCUUAUCUUAAAAAACCAAAACCGGGGGCUAGGGAUUUAGCUCAGUGGCAUAAGUACCUGCCUUGCAAGUGUAUGGUUGUGAGUUCGAUCCCUGGUACAGAUAAAAACAAAAAAUGAAAAAAAAAAAAAAAAAACCCAAACCAACAGCAAAAAACACAUCCCCAACCCCAAACCUCUCUUACAAAGCAGAAGGAAUAUUUUCCUGCAGACCCAAAACACUCUACUGUAAGUCAGGGAUGGCAGGUGUCAUGUUUCCCCAAAUCCUGGCACUGGAGAAAUGAACUCAGGGCACUCGUAUUGAUAAAUUUUUUUUUUUUUGUCUUUUUGAGACAGGGUCUCGCUAUGCAUUCAGGCUGGCCUUGAGCUUACUUUGUAGCCCAGGCUGGUCUCGAAUGCGCAACAAUCCUCCUGCCUCAGUCUCCCGAGUGCUGGGAUUACACACUUGAGCCACCAUGCCUGGCUCUCGAUAAUUUUUUUAAAAGCCCUAAAAAUUAUUUAUUUUUAAAGUUCUGAGACAAGGUUUCACUAAGUUAGGCAACUUUUUUGGUACUGGGGAUCAAACUCACGACCUGGCCUCGUCAGGCAGGCACUUGUGCAACUGAGCCAAAGCCCUGGACCCUGGGCUUAAACUUUCAAUCCUUCUACCUCAGCUUCUGCAGGCUCAGGCCACCACACCCUGGUGGCAUGCUACAUUAUUAAUAACUUUGGUCCCAUAUUGUUUUCAAGAGCAGAGGCUGAUUCAUCUUAUGGUUUCCAGGACCCAAAAGGGAGCCAGGCAUUCCAGAGAAAUUUAUCACACUGCAUAUAUAAGAAUAACCAGAUCUCAAAGAUAACGCACAUUCCACACUUCUGCUUUUUCAUAGCCCUUGUGAAUAAGGUUCCUAAGGUGGGUUUCUAACAUCCCUCUGUUAUGAAUUCACUAUAUCUUUACUGCCUGGUCCAAAGCAAUUGCACAUUAAAUGUUUGUUGAAUAAA